CCUCAAGUAAACAUCAAACAUGUGCCACUCAAUCAUAGUUUUCUAACUAGAUGCCACUCGUCAUUUAGACUCAUCAACAAUGUUAGCUCUUUAACAUUAUAAGUUCUAAUCAUCUCAUAUAGGGUUAAAUUUCAUCAUUAAACUCUAUCAUUUAAUCUCAUGCAUACUAGUUUAUAAAUCAUACAAUCAACCAUAUCUAUAGCUACUAGCAUGCAAUUUGGAGCAAUAUAAUUAACCUUUAACCCUACAAGAACAUGCACAAUAUGCAACUUGGUCAUAUUUAAACUUAGACAUAAUAAGUAGCCCG
This 307-nucleotide long non-coding RNA is filed under the name Ananas comosus (pineapple). Its description in RNAcentral is "long non-coding RNA (ACOM_LNC000973)". The record is from RNAcentral. Lineage: Eukaryota; Viridiplantae; Streptophyta; Magnoliopsida; Poales; Bromeliaceae.